AGUCCCCUUGGGAAAUGAAAAUUGUAAAAAGGAAACCAACCCUGUAAAUUUAGUAGUGUUAAAAAUCUCCCCGUAUUCACUUUUCCAAUUGCUGUUAUACCUGAGAGUAUUGUCUCUGUGUCAUUGCUCGUUGGCACAUUUUUUUCACUCCACACUUUGAAAUAUGAAUCUAUUACAGAAGGAUCAUGUUGGUGAGGCACUGGGGAUGAAUAAGUUAGGAACAGUAAUUAGUUUUCAGACAUUCCAUUUGAGGGUGGCAAUGCAUUUUUUUUCCCCAAAAAUAAUUUCCUUCCAAGCAGUGGGUUUAUAAUAAGAGUUUAGUUUGACUAAACUUGCACAUUCUUAGUGGACUGUCUUUAUCUUCUUGACACAUUUCCCAAUUUCAUUGUGUUGUUUCUCCUGCUCACAUUUCCCACAAAUGAUUUCCUCUUCUAGAAGUGCAGCCUGUGACACCGACUCCUUAUGUCUGAGCUGUGAAGCCUUUCCAGCUUAGACAACAACAACAACACACAACUUCUUAAUCCAUCCCAAAGCUCUUCCACCCAAAUGCCCUGCCUUUUCCACUGCCGUGGUUAUUGGAAAUGUGAUAAGACUUGCCUUCCCUCAUUUCUACUUCCUUACUCUUCUCUUCAAUCCACAGUCUGGCUUCUGUUCUGCCCACUCUGCAAAAUUUCUCCCAACACUGGCCAAUGGUCUUUUGUGCUCAAUGGAGGGGCCAUUUCUCAGACUCUCACUGGCCACCUAGGUGGCAUUUGACCUUGUUGAUCACACCCUCUCUAAUAACCUAUCCAACUGAUAUUUGGCUUAAAUAUCAGCUCCUCCAAGAUGACUUGCUGGACCUCUCUGAGUCUGGGAAUGUAUUUCCACAGCAUCUGCAUUUCCAGCGUAACUUUGGAACCGUUUGAAAAAGUCUACUCAUUUAUCUGUCCUGCCUCCUUUGUGCCCCUCAUGCCUCGCACAUCCAGGACACAUAAUCUUAUUUUCCUCGAUUUUCUUUCGGUUUCAAGUAGCACAUCUUUUCUCAAGUUUAAGCACAUGGAGGAUUUCUUACUGUGAUGCAGUGAUAUGUCUUGGUCAAAAAGCAGGAAGUGCCACCAUACCACCAUACAUUGUAGGUAUGUAGCGGUAUGAUACAGUUUAUCAUAGAUGUACUGUGCCCUCUGGGGCCAAAGAACCGUGAGCUUCAGUGCCUUUCUCUGUUUUGGUCCCAUUUCUUCCCCUGCGCAUCACCUUCUCUGUCCUUCCUCUGAGUUUAUAGGUCCUCUGUGCCCGGGGAGUGGGCACAAGUGGAGGAGACCCCCUAAGGGUCUAUGGACUACUCACAUGAGCCUGGAAGGCCCUUUAAUCUGUGUCCAUUUCAGCACCUGCUUCAAAAUCUGGGGAAUGAUUGAACGUCUCUCUCCCAGUCAUCUCUCAUUUCCGUAAGCCAUCUAAUAAACUCUCAAAGCACCCAUGCUCCUUACUGACAAGAAAGAGCUUUUAUCCAGCAGAGCCUCAACCUUUCUCUCCACUUCCUUUAUUCCCACCAUGGGAUAUAUUGUCCUUAUCCAAAGAGCUAUUUUUAUCUACAAAGAGUUCCUUAUGGAGUCUGGGUUGACCAUCAUCUUCUCAUUCUGGUUUAAAACGUGGAGAAAAUUGACUCAAUACUUAUAUUAGUCAGUUGUUGCUACAAUAAGCCAUGUGAUGCAGAGUGGCCCAAUUCUCAGGGGCUUGUAGCCACGGUUACGUCUUCUUCCUGCUCAUGGACCUGGAGGAGUGGAGGUCGGCCUGACUUUGGCUGAUCAUGGAGCAACCACGCUUGCGUCUGCUCCUUCCAGGACCUGAGUUGAAGGGCCAGGGGCUUCGUGGGGUUUGCUCUUCCCAGGAAGAAUCCCGAAUAGAAGUGCGAGAUGCUUCUGCAGGCCUGGGCACAGACUUGGCAUCUGUCCUGUUGUUUAAAGCCACAGACAGGGCAAUCAAUUACCGUCAUCCUAGAUGUCCAAAUGGAUUUCAGUGGGUUUUCAGUUUUUAAGGUAAAGUUCCAAUUCCUUAGCUUGGUAUGCUGGAUCGCUACCUCUGUACCUGCCUCUGGCUGAUGGCAAGAGACUCGUUUCUCUCAGCUUUCCUUAUCUAUGUACAGUGCGGCUCUCACCACUUUGCGUCACUGCUGAACCUGCAUGUUUCGUACCAUCUCACAUACUGUUCUUUUGGACUCCUCCGUCUCCCGCUCCUUUAUCUGGCUAACUGCUGUGGAACCCUUAAAACCAAGGUCAAGGAAAGCCUUCCUCCUAGAAGCCACCCUUGAUUCUCUUAAGCUGAGAUGGCUGACCCUCCUCUGUGCUUCUCACUGUCCAAUGCUUCCCUCUCUCCUUGUACUUACGCCCCAACCCCCCGCUGCCUUAUCAUUGCUGCAGCUCUCUCUGUUCCUCCACAAAGAACUGGAAGGUCCUCAAGGACUAUGGAAGGAAGGCGGGAGAGGAAAGAAAGGAAGGGAUGAGAGAACUAUGUCCAGAUACUCAUGUUGCAACAGAAGAAAGGGUGGGGGGAAAAUGUAAUUGUAAUGUAUACAUGUAAGGAUAACCUGACCCCCUUGCUGUACAGUG
RNAcentral lists this long non-coding RNA (2582 nucleotides) under Sus scrofa (pig). RNAcentral describes it as "lncRNA (ENSSSCG00040016436.1)". The record is from RNAcentral. Lineage: Eukaryota; Metazoa; Chordata; Mammalia; Artiodactyla; Suidae.